Molecule: ribosomal RNA, 430 nt
Filed under: Pseudomonadota bacterium
Lineage: Bacteria; Pseudomonadati; Pseudomonadota
Description: Proteobacteria bacterium partial 16S ribosomal RNA
Rfam family: Bacterial small subunit ribosomal RNA
Source: RNAcentral
UGGGGAAUAUUGGACAAUGGGGGGAACCCUGAUCCAGCCAUGCCGCGUGUGUGAAGAAGGCCUUAUGGUUGUAAAGCACUUUAAGCGAGGAGGAGGGUACUGGUAUUAAUACUACCAGGUACUGGACGUUACUCGCAGAAUAAGCACCGGCUAACUCUGUGCCAGCAGCCGCGGUAAUACAGAGGGUGCGAGCGUUAAUCGGAUUUACUGGGCGUAAAGCGUGCGUAGGCGGCUAAUUGAGUCGGAUGUGAAAUCCCCGAGCUUAACUCGGGAAUUGCAUUCGAUACUGGUUAGCUAGAGUGUGGGAGAGGAUGGUAGAAUUCCAGGUGUAGCGGUGAAAUGCGUAGAGAUCUGGAGGAAUACCGAUGGCGAAGGCAGCCAUCUGGCCUAACACUGACGCUGAGGUACGAAAGCAUGGGGAGCAAACAGG